GAUGAACGCUGGCGGCGUGCCUAAUACAUGCAAGUCGAGCGAACAGAUCAGGAGCUUGCUCCUUUGACGAUAGCGGCAGACGGGUGAGUAACACGUGGGUAACUUACCUAUAAGACUGGAAUCAUUACGGGAAACCGGGUCUAAUGCCGGAUAAGAUGUUGAACCGCAGGGUUCUACAGAAAAAGGCGGCUUUGGUGGAAGUUAUCGCUGGUCCUGCGCCGUAUUAGCUAGUUGGUGAGGUGAAGGGUCAACAAGGCAACGAUGCGUAGCCGAGCGGAGGGGCGGGUCGCCCACACGGGAACUGAGACACGCUCCAGGCUCCUACGGGACGCAGCAGUAGCGAAUCUGCCGCAGUGGGCGAAAGCCUGACGGAGCAACGCCACGUCAGUGAUGACGGUCUUCGGUUCGUAAUACUCUGUUAUUAGGGAAGAACAAAUGCGUAAGUAACUGUGCGCGUCUUGACGGUACCUAAUCAGAAAGCCCCGGCUAACUACGUG
This 497-nucleotide ribosomal RNA is filed under the name uncultured bacterium. RNAcentral describes it as "partial 16S ribosomal RNA". It matches the Rfam family "Bacterial small subunit ribosomal RNA", at positions 28 to 507 of the family's 1533-position model. The record is from RNAcentral.